UUCAGCAAUGAAGCUGGAUCUGGCCUGCCGUCUAACUUUCGUGGUACACUUUAGACUCUGGAGUUUGACAACAGCUGUUGCACAACCAUGCUAGGAGGCCACCAGUCUUGGGACAAUGGUUUCUCACUAGUUUGCAUGAGGUAGAACAGAAAUAUAGUAGCCGAGGGAAAACAAAAACUUUAAAUAAUUUAGGGAAGGGAUUUUCCUGGAUGAGUCACAUUUUAAUGAGUACAUCAAUGAUUCAAUUAUGUAUGAAUGUAUGAUGCGUGCACAAGUUAUUUUUUUAUUUUUCGAGACAGGGUCUCACUCUCUCCCCCAGGCUGGAGUGCAGUGGCGCGAUCUCGGCUCACUGCAAGCUCUGCCUUUCCGGUGCACACCAUUCUCCUGCCUGAGCCUUCUGAGUAGCUGGGACUACCGCCUGCUGCCAAGCCCGGCUAAUUUUUUUUUUUUUUUUUUUUUUUUUUUUAAUUUUUAUUUUUUGAGACAGAGUCUUACCCUGUCACUCAGGCUGGAGUGCAGUGGCACAAUCUCGGCGCACAGCAACCUCUGCCUCCUGGGAUGAUGCCAUUCUCCUGUCUCUCUCCCCUCAAGGGGACGCUGAUUUGCCACCAUGUCCGGCUAAUUUUUUGUAUGUUUUAGUAGAGACAAGGUUUCACCGUGUUGGUUUCGAUCUCCUGACCUUGUGAUCUGCCCGCCUCGGCCUCCCAAAGUGCUGGGAUUAUAGGUGUGAGCUGCCGUGCUCUGCUCAGUUUAUUUUUAAUAGAAAAGUAGGAGAACAGGGAAGGCACACAGGUCAGUGUGAAGAAGGGGGUCAUGGUAGACAUGGAGGUGGAGUGUUUUCCUGCCUCCUCACAUUAUGCUAAUAGGGACACAGACAGAUUCAGAGGCCCUUGCAAAAAGAAAAGCCAGAGUCCGUUAAGACACAAAGGGGAGGCGUGAAGAAUUCCUGCAUCUCAGUCGCACGCGAGGCAGCUGUCUCAGACUACAGAAGAAAACAGUCAUGAACAAAUUCAGGUCAGUCACAGUAAGUGAUGACACUCUGAACAGCCCACCACACACUCAAAAAUUCCAAAUCAAAAAAUCCCCACAACCCAGUCCUGUCCCAUCUGCCCCACCCUCCACGCACUUCAGAUCCCCAGAAUCUCACCUUUAUAAGCUGUGAGAGACUCAUCAGAUGCCUGGGCACUGUCGCUACCUGGGGUAG
Molecule: long non-coding RNA, 1204 nt
Filed under: Piliocolobus tephrosceles (Ugandan red Colobus)
Lineage: Eukaryota; Metazoa; Chordata; Mammalia; Primates; Cercopithecidae
Description: lncRNA (ENSPTEG00000029219.1)
Source: RNAcentral